CUAUUCCAUCUCUCUCUCCCAACAUUCUGCACAAAUUGUUCCACAUCAAAACCCUAAUUCACUCGCCGCAGCUGAAAAUUUCCACUAGGAUAUGUGGACAUUCCUCAAACAAGGGUUUAUAGGGAAAAUGAAGGAGUCUAAAGGAGGCAUCUUAGAAGAUACGAUUCGUAUAUUGCCCGGCGUUCUUUAUACAGCACUUAUGUUUGAAUUAAUCGACCGUCAGGAAAAGGAAAAAAAAGAGGCCGAAGAUUUAAUCAAGAAAGAGGGCAAACAAAAGCAUUCCAAGGAGAUCAAGAAAAACUAAAUCGAUUUAGUGUUUCGUUGUCAGUUCUUGUUGUUUAAGGGAGCUUCAUUAAUGAUUUAAAUAGAAUUCCUUGGAUUUAUGUUUAAUUUGUUGUUUUUGGAGUUGAAGCAUCCAAUAAUUAGCUAUAAAUGUGGUUCAUUGACAUAAA
Salvia splendens (bonfire salvia) is the source of this 452-nucleotide long non-coding RNA. RefSeq lists it as uncharacterized. The record is from RefSeq and is a predicted model, not a curated record. The transcript is spliced from 2 exons. NCBI's taxonomy places the organism in Eukaryota, Viridiplantae, Streptophyta, Magnoliopsida, Lamiales, Lamiaceae.